UUACGGAAGGCAGCAGUGAGGAAUAUUGCACAAUGGGGGAAACCCUGAUGCAGCAACGCCGCGUGAGUGAGGAAGGCCCUUGGGUCGUAAAGCUCUUUCGGCUGGGAAGAGGGGGGUUUUGGUUAAUACCCAAGACUUCUGACGGUACCAGACUAAGAAGCACUGGCUAAUUCCGUGCCAGCAGCCGCGGUAAUACGGAAGGUGCAAGCGUUGUUCGGAAUGACUGGGCGUAAAGUGCGCGUAGGCGGGUUUACAAGUCGAUUGUGAAAUCCCAGGGCUUAACCCUGGAACUGCAGUCGAAACUGUAAGUCUUGAAUAUCUGAGAGGUUAGUGGAAUUCUAGGUGUAGGAGUGAAAUCCGUAGAUAUCUAGAGGAACACCGGAGGCGAAGGCGGCUAACUGGCAGUAUAUUGACGCUGAGGCGCGAAAGCGUGGGGAGCAAACAGGAUUAGAUACCCGAGUAU
This 463-nucleotide ribosomal RNA is filed under the name uncultured bacterium. Its description in RNAcentral is "bacterial SSU rRNA". It matches the Rfam family "Bacterial small subunit ribosomal RNA", at positions 339 to 793 of the family's 1533-position model. The record is from RNAcentral.